RNAcentral lists this ribosomal RNA (1182 nucleotides) under Escherichia sp. KCJ4943. RNAcentral's name for it is "partial 23S ribosomal RNA". It matches the Rfam family "Bacterial large subunit ribosomal RNA", at positions 588 to 1769 of the family's 2925-position model. Lineage: Bacteria; Pseudomonadati; Pseudomonadota; Gammaproteobacteria; Enterobacterales; Enterobacteriaceae. The record is from RNAcentral.
GGCGUGUGACUGCGUACCUUUUGUAUAAUGGGUCAGCGACUUAUAUUCUGUAGCAAGGUUAACCGAAUAGGGGAGCCGAAGGGAAACCGAGUCUUAACUGGGCGUUAAGUUGCAGGGUAUAGACCCGAAACCCGGUGAUCUAGCCAUGGGCAGGUUGAAGGUUGGGUAACACUAACUGGAGGACCGAACCGACUAAUGUUGAAAAAUUAGCGGAUGACUUGUGGCUGGGGGUGAAAGGCCAAUCAAACCGGGAGAUAGCUGGUUCUCCCCGAAAGCUAUUUAGGUAGCGCCUCGUGAAUUCAUCUCCGGGGGUAGAGCACUGUUUCGGCAAGGGGGUCAUCCCGACUUACCAACCCGAUGCAAACUGCGAAUACCGGAGAAUGUUAUCACGGGAGACACACGGCGGGUGCUAACGUCCGUCGUGAAGAGGGAAACAACCCAGACCGCCAGCUAAGGUCCCAAAGUCAUGGUUAAGUGGGAAACGAUGUGGGAAGGCCCAGACAGCCAGGAUGUUGGCUUAGAAGCAGCCAUCAUUUAAAGAAAGCGUAAUAGCUCACUGGUCGAGUCGGCCUGCGCGGAAGAUGUAACGGGGCUAAACCAUGCACCGAAGCUGCGGCAGCGACGCUGAUGCGUUGUUGGGUAGGGGAGCGUUCUGUAAGCCUGCGAAGGUGUGCUGUGAGGCAUGCUGGAGGUAUCAGAAGUGCGAAUGCUGACAUAAGUAACGAUAAAGCGGGUGAAAAGCCCGCUCGCCGGAAGACCAAGGGUUCCUGUCCAACGUUAAUCGGGGCAGGGUGAGUCGACCCCUAAGGCGAGGCCGAAAGGCGUAGUCGAUGGGAAACAGGUUAAUAUUCCUGUACUUGGUGUUACUGCGAAGGGGGGACGGAGAAGGCUAUGUUGGCCGGGCGACGGUUGUCCCGGUUUAAGCGUGUAGGCUGGUUUUCCAGGCAAAUCCGGAAAAUCAAGGCUGAGGCGUGAUGACGAGGCACUACGGUGCUGAAGCAACAAAUGCCCUGCUUCCAGGAAAAGCCUCUAAGCAUCAGGUAACAUCAAAUCGUACCCCAAACCGACACAGGUGGUCAGGUAGAGAAUACCAAGGCGCUUGAGAGAACUCGGGUGAAGGAACUAGGCAAAAUGGUGCCGUAACUUCGGGAGAAGGCACGCUGAUAUGUAGGUGAGGUCCCU